AUGUCACCUCCAUUCUACUUCAUGAUGUCCCCAUGUGUCACCUCUUGUUCCCCUUUGUGUUGUCCCCUCAUGUCACCUCCAUUCCUCACGAUGUCCCCUCGUGUCACCUCUGCUCCCCUUUGUGUUGUCCCCUCAUGUCACCUCCAUUCUCCUUGGUGUCAUCCGCAAGUGUCACCUCCCUUCCUUCUCCCUUGUAUUGUCCCCUUGUGUCACCUCUGCUCCCCUUUGUGUUGUCCCCCCAUGUCACCUCCCUUCUCCUUCAUGGUGUCCCCUCAUGUCACCUCCAUUCCUCACGAUGUCCCUUCAUGUCACCUCCAUUCUCUUUCCUGUCAUCCCCAAGUGUCACCUUCCUUGUCCCUUGUAUUGUCCCCUCAUGUCACCUCCCUUCUCCUUCAUGUUGUCUCCCCAUGUCACCACCAUUCUCCUUUGUGAUGUCCCCAUGUGUCACCUCUUGUUCCCCUUUCAUGAUGUCCCCCCAUGUCACCUCCAUUCUUCACAAUGUCCCCUCGUGUCACCUCUGCUCCCUUUCAUGUUGUCCACCCACGUCACCUCCAUUCCUCCUGCCAUCCCCCCCUGUCACCUCCCCCCUCCUGUCACUGCGUGACCCCCCGAUGUCCCCUCCUGACCCCCCGAUGUCCCCACAGUGCAGUGUUACAACGGUGGCACCUACGAUGGCAUCAAAUGCCUCUGCCUCUCCAGCUUCUAUGGGCCGCAGUGCGAGUUCCCCGCCGACGUCAUCGACACCUCUGUCCGUGAGUGCCUCUUCCUCUUCCUCUUCCUCUUCCUCUUCCUCUUCCUCUUCCUCUUCCUCUUCCUCUUCCUCUUCCUCUUCCCAUUCCCCUUCUCCUUCCCCUCACUCUCACUCUUGCUCUCGCUCUCACUCUCACUCUCCCUCCUCCUCCUCCUCUUCCUCUUCCUCCUCCUCUUCCUCUUCCUCUUCCUCUUCCUCUUCCUCUUCCUCUUCCUCUUCCUCCUCCUCUUCCAACUCCCUCUCCCUCCUCUUCCUCUUCCUCCUCCUCUUCCUCCUUGUUUCGCUCCUCUUCUUCUUCCUCUUCCUCUUCCUCUUCCUCCUCCUCCUCCUCCUCCUCCUCCUUUUCCUCAUUCUCUUUCUCCUCCUUCUCCUUCUCCUUCUCCUUCUCCUUCUNNNNNNNNNNNNNNNNNNNNNNNNNNNNNNNNNNNNNNNNNNNNNNNNNNNNNNNNNNNNNNNNNCCUCCUCCUCCUCCUCCUCCUCCUCCUCCUCCUCCUCCUCCUCUUCCGCCUCUUCCUUCUCCUCUUCCUCCCUCUCCCCCACCCCUGGAGGACCAACCCUUUUCUCCCCACAGCGUCCUCUGGUACCACCGUGGCUCUGGCGGAGCUGAAGGUCACCGUCACCAACUUCAACUACAGCGAGGAGCUGAAGGACCAACAGUCGGAAAUGUUCCGCAUGUUUGGGGAGCACUUCCAGAAUGAGGUGAGAACCAUUCCUCGGGUGGGAGGAGGUUGGGGGGGGUCACUUCCGGUUUUGGGGGUGUCGCUUCCGGUGGUUGGGGUGCCACUUCCUGUCGUUGGGGUCUCACUUCCACUGGCUGGGGUGUCACUUCUGGUUUUUGGGGUGUCAUUUCCAUUGGUCGGGGUGCCACUUCCGGUGGUUGGGGUGCCACUUCCUGUCGUUGGGGUGUCACUUCCGGCGGUUGGGGGGGUCUCACUUCCACCAUCUGGGGUGACACUUCCGAUUUUUGGGGUGUCAUUUCCAUUGUUUCGGGUGCCACUUCCGGAUUUGGGCUGCCACUUCCUGUUGUUGGGACGCCACUUCCGAUUUUGGGGUGCCACUUCCGGUUGGGGGGGGGGGGGGGGGGGGGCGUCGCUUCGAUCGGUCGAGGUCUCAACCUCCAUCAUUCGGGCGCCGCUUCCAGCCGUUGAGGAGUCCCUUUCCGGUGGCUGAGGCCCCACUUCCGGUUUUGGCGGGGGGGUCGGGGUGCCACUUCCGGUGGUGGGGGCGUCACUUCCGGUUUCAGUUUCGUUUCUGUCCGUGGUUCCGCAGAUCAGGAAAAUCUACGGCAGCGUCCCCAGCUACCAGGGGGUGAAGAUCAUCGACAUCAAGUGCGGAUGUGGGGUGGGGGCUGCGGGUCGGGGGCGGGGUUUGGGGUCGCUUUGGGUU
Molecule: long non-coding RNA, 2137 nt
Organism: Phasianus colchicus (ring-necked pheasant)
Lineage: Eukaryota; Metazoa; Chordata; Aves; Galliformes; Phasianidae
Source: Ensembl